Nyctereutes procyonoides (raccoon dog) is the source of this 1424-nucleotide long non-coding RNA. RefSeq lists it as uncharacterized. The transcript is spliced from 4 exons. Lineage: Eukaryota; Metazoa; Chordata; Mammalia; Carnivora; Canidae. The record is from RefSeq and is a predicted model, not a curated record.
GGUAGGGCACGGUGUCCACACGGCUCUGGAUGUAAGCGCUUCGCAGGAGGCUGGAGCAGUGGCUGCUCACCCUCUCCAGUCGCCGCAGGAUCAGGUGGGCCUUCCUGAAAGGGAGGACGAGAUAGUGAUUAAGAGCCAAAUGUAGCUGAGAGGAUCGAGAAGCCCAAGAGUGGUCAAGGGUGUUCUGACUGAAGGCAAUUCUGGUCCUUAGCCACCUAUGAGCUCAGUUCCUCACGUCUCCUAAUAGGAACUGUAUGGUUGGGACAGCGGCUGUCAGCAGGUCUUCUCUGAGCAGCUGUUUGCGACACCUGUGGCUGCCACGGGAACCAGGAUCUGGAGGCCACUGGCCUGAUAGACUUCCUAGGCAGAGGGGAAAGAACAGUGGCCAAGGGUCCUGAACCAAACAAAACGAACACACACUCAUACCCGAGUACGCAUCUUCAGGACUGGAAUACGGCGCUGCCCAUCUCUAUCCACCCACCGACAUCUGGUGCUCAGACAUCUAAAUCACGCGAUGCCUCGGCAAGUACUUGCCAGAAUGAAUGACAUACUGAAUGAAUGACUCAAUCGACUAGGAAGUCGUAGCUUCCCUGUCUGGAAAUCAGCUUCCCCGUCUGUGAAAUGAACAAAAGGGGGUUUGGUUGAAAGGUCAUUAUAAGAGAUAGAAUGACAGAAUGGCUGAACACAUGAGCCUGGAAUGAGGCUGUUCGGUUUUAAAUUCUGGCUCCCCAUUUAUUGCCUGUGUGAGGCCUUGUGUCGAUGUACUCACCUGUGAAAUAGGAAUCAUGAUAUUAAAACCCACUGUAUAGCGUAGCUGCCAGAGUAAAAAGCGACGUGGGGAAGUGCUCACUAUGCUGCCUGGCAUGUGCUGACGCUCAGCUAGGGACAGUUGCGGUGUCAUCAUCAAUAGUUAUCAUGAGACUGCACGAGGCUCUGAGCACCCCCCUCCCCCGUCUCCCCCAGACAUCCAGAAGAAGUCGUCCUAGUGGAAAUCAGAGGAGAGUGGGUGGAGAGGAAGCUGUUGUUGGUCCCAUCCAAGACCCCUAGACCCCCUCGCAGCGGGGGUGAGAGAAUGAAACCGAGAAGUUAAUUGGCGGUGAGAGCUUCUCACGGAUCUGACAGGGGGUAAGAGCGGGGAUGGAGCCCCAGAGGCCCACAUCAGGACCAGGUCCCCGAGAGUACGGGAGAAUGCGUUUGAAGUCUCCAGGCCAACGCCUGCUCUUCCCCAGCCGCCACAUGAUUUAGGCAUUCUGGGGAGGCAAAAGUCUCCUCGCUGAUUUGAAGGGAAACAGAUGUUUCCAGGCCAGAGGCCCUGGUCUUGUAAAAUGCUCCUUCCCCCCACACAGCUUUGGCAAACAACUUCCCAGUUAGUUUAAACCCCACCCCCCACUCCUACCCCCACCCCACUGCCCCACACCCAACCU